UCCCUGGUGGUCCAGUGGACAAGACUCUGCUCCCAAUGCAGGGGACCCAGGUUCAAUCCCUGGUUAGGGAA
Molecule: transfer RNA, 71 nt
Filed under: Bos taurus (domestic cattle)
Lineage: Eukaryota; Metazoa; Chordata; Mammalia; Artiodactyla; Bovidae
Also listed under: 3 other names
Rfam family: tRNA
About the family: Transfer RNA (tRNA) molecules are approximately 80 nucleotides in length. Their secondary structure includes four short double-helical elements and three loops (D, anti-codon, and T loops). Further hydrogen bonds mediate the characteristic L-shaped molecular structure. tRNAs have two regions of fundamental functional importance: the anti-codon, which is responsible for specific mRNA codon recognition, and the 3' end, to which the tRNAs corresponding amino acid is attached (by aminoacyl-tRNA synthetases). tRNAs cope with the degeneracy of the genetic code in two manners: having more than one tRNA (with a specific anti-codon) for a particular amino acid; and 'wobble' base-pairing, i.e. permitting non-standard base-pairing at the 3rd anti-codon position.
Source: Rfam by way of RNAcentral